UACGUAGGGGGCAAGCGUUAUCCGGAUUUACUGGGUGUAAAGGGAGCGUAGGUGGCUCGAUAAGUCAGAAGUGAAAGCCCAGAGCUCAACUCUGGGACUGCUUUUGAAACUAUCGAGCUAGAGUGCAGGAGAGGUAAGUGGAAUUCCUAGUGUAGCGGUGAAAUGCGUAGAUAUUAGGAGGAACACCAGUGGCGAAGGCGGCUUACUGGACUGUAACUGACACUGAGGCUCGAAAGCGUGGGGAGCAAACAGG
Molecule: ribosomal RNA, 253 nt
Filed under: uncultured bacterium
Lineage: Bacteria
Also listed under: 1 other name
Description: partial 16S ribosomal RNA
Rfam family: Bacterial small subunit ribosomal RNA
Source: RNAcentral